RNAcentral lists this unclassified non-coding RNA (391 nucleotides) under soil metagenome. RNAcentral's name for it is "partial contains 5.8S ribosomal RNA, internal transcribed spacer 2, and large subunit ribosomal RNA". The stretch from base 1 to 122 matches the Rfam family "5.8S ribosomal RNA", at positions 35 to 154 of the family's 154-position model. The record is from RNAcentral.
GAUGAAGAACGUAGCGAAAUGCGAUACUUGGUGUGAAUUGCAGAAUCCCGUGAACCAUCGAGUCUUUGAACGCAAGUUGCGCCCGAAGCCAUUAGGCCGAGGGCACGCCUGCCUGGGCGUCACACGUCGUUGCCCCCCCAUCUACUCCUUCGGGAUUGCGGGGGGCGGAUGAUGGCCUCCCGUGCGCCUCGCCGCGCGGUUGGCAUAAAUGCCAAGUCCUCGGCGACGCACGCCACGACAAUCGGUGGUUGCGAAACCUCGGUUGCCCGUCGUGUGCGGUCGUCGCGCAUCGAGGGCUCGAAAAAAUUGCCGGGUUCCGGUUCGGCUUUCAACGCGACCCCAGGUCAGGCGGGGUUACCCGCUGAAUUUAAGCAUAUCAAUAAGCGGAGGA